AGCAGUAGCCGCGGUAACACGUAGGGUGCGAGCGUUAAUCGGAAUUACUGGGCGUAAAGCGUGCGCAGGCGGUUUUGUAAGACAGGCGUGAAAUCCCCGGGCUCAACCUGGGAAUGGCGCUUGUGACUGCAAAGCUAGAGUGCGGCAGAGGGGGAUGGAAUUCCGCGUGUAGCAGUGAAAUGCGUAGAUAUGCGGAGGAACACCGAUGGCGAAGGCAAUCCCCUGGGCCUGCACUGACGCUCAUGCACGAAAGCGUGGGGAGCAAACAGGAUUAGAUACCCCGGUAGUCCCUGUCUCUUAUAC
This 303-nucleotide ribosomal RNA is filed under the name uncultured bacterium. Its description in RNAcentral is "partial 16S ribosomal RNA". It matches the Rfam family "Bacterial small subunit ribosomal RNA", at positions 507 to 807 of the family's 1533-position model. The record is from RNAcentral.